Long non-coding RNA from Cygnus olor (mute swan), 2124 nucleotides. RefSeq lists it as uncharacterized. NCBI's taxonomy places the organism in Eukaryota, Metazoa, Chordata, Aves, Anseriformes, Anatidae. The transcript has 3 exons. The record is from RefSeq and is a predicted model, not a curated record.
UUACUCUCAGACUUUUUAUUAGUCAGACUGCUGCAUCUGACCGCCUUCUCGGAGAUGUGGCCAUGUUCAGCCCUAAGGAGAUAAGUAUUUUCAAGCAAUGAUUUAAAAAUAGCUAAAAUACCCUUUGUGGGAGAAAAGAGGCAAAGGGGCACAUGCAAUCCAUUCUCAUCCACCACAGAUUCACCUCUUACACCUGUUUUUCAUCCUUUGCUGUUAGUUGUGCUUUAGCAAUUUCCCUUUUUUUCCCUUCUUUCUCUUUUUUUUUUUUUUUUUUUUCCCCCCAGGUCCCCAUCAGUUCCGAGUAGAUGUGUGGAAGAACCAUAAAAGUAAGAAGAGAGCCUGAAGGACACGACUUGGACUCACUUUUCCAAGAGCCCUUCACCCAGAAGAAGGCAGAAUUGCCUUUUCAGUCCUGCUUACACGAGCAUCCAAGCUGUGUCCUCCUGCAGCUCUGCAAGGAAUCACACCAAAAUCAUGGGGAAGCACGAUGAGUCACAUGCGGGGUGCAAACCCAAAGUGCCUGAGACGAGCACAUGAGUGGGAUGGGAGUCAGCCCUGAAAUGAGGGGAGACAAAUGUUGCAACAACACGACGAGCGUGAGAGCAGCCAUAUUGGAUCAGACCAAUGGUCCGCCUACAACAUGGCCAGAAGUGAUGUCUGGAAUAUGGGAACCUUCUCCCUUGGUGCUCUUCCAGCGCUUGGGAGUCAUGGGCAAGCAUUUCCAAAGACUAUACAAGCCCAUCGUGGCUCCUGGGGUUUGCUGACUCUGAGGUCUGUUGCAGCAUCCAUAUUGCAUCGCCACUUGAACCAGGCACCGAGGCUUAUGGGAAUGAAGUCAGUCGCAGAGGUGACCUGGGGACACGUGAAUCACCUCGAAGCAGCCCUGGACUUUUGCCUCAUGUCUAUACCAGGUGUUUCACGACACAGUUUGCUUUAUGCAUACCUCUUUCUUGAGAUACUGGGAACCAAAAAAAAAAAAAAAAAUAGCAGGCUGCUUCAUUUUCUCUCCGUUGGUCAUUAAAAUAGUAUAGAUGCUUUAUAACACGCAUGCCGCAGCUCAGGUCCAAAUAGGGGUUAGGAGGAAACUCAGCGUGCUGGCAGUAAAAAAAUACCAAAACAACCACCCCCCCCCGCUUCCCUCCUAACUACAGUUUGACAUCAUGAGCCGGCGAGCGAGUGGUAUUUAUUAAUCUCAUCCCCUGGAGCCAACAACACCGCCGAGUCAGGGUCCGGGAAAAUCUCUGAGUCACAUGGAGAUGCAAAGCCAGGAAAUGUCAGUGAAAGAUAAAGAAGCAAAUAAAGAAGUAAAUAUUAAGGCAAGAGAAAUUGGAAGCUGGUGGCAGCUUCCUGGAAGAAGCCGCAAGCAUUGAGAGGCAGCCCGGGCUGGCUGGGGCUAGGAGCAGACUGUAGUCUUGGGUUAAAUGUCAGUGUGGAGCUUGGUUGGCAAACGAAGGCACAUCUUGCCUCACAAUGUAAAAGAGGAGCACUCAAAUCUGACCCACAGCCCUGGAAUGUAAACUGGAGUCCUUCUUCUAAUUGCAAAAGCAGCCAGUGCCUCUGCUGGGGGAGCGGGACCUGUUUCGGUCUCUGUUAGUUCUCAUACCAGGUCCAAUCUUGUGAUUUAUGGGCUAGGGCUGGAUGAUGCCAGUGGCUUUGGACUCCUGGUGGCUCCAAAGGCAGCUGCUUUCAGCUCAGGACUGGGCUGAGAGGGGGCUUUUAGUGUGAAGCACAGCUUUGGAUGGGCAAAAAUCACUGCAAAUUCUGCCUGAGUUCAGCAAAUGAUUGCAGAUGAAAAGAAAAAAGUGGGAAACAUCAUACACAUAUAUUUUUUAAAGCUAGGAUUCAGGCAUCUUCUGGCAGGCCCUGCCUCCUAAAGUUCAUGCAGUUUUCUUCCAUUCUUUGCUUGGGAUGGGAGGUUUUUGUCUCUAGGCAAGUAGCAGAAAGGGGAAAUUUGAGGGAAGAUGCAGAGGAACCAAGGACCCAGGAGGCCCUGCUGCUCAGCAUCGGUUGUCCCUGUCCCUGCAGGCUGAGCUGCAGGUGCUGGGUUGGGGUGUCUGAAACACCAAGAUGCCAAGGCUGCAUGUGACUUGAAAAAUUACACAGAAAAUGUAUAUAUAUAUUUAU